AUGACCUAACAUCUUGCACCAAGAUGUAUAACAUUCUAUCAUUUCCCAACUAUAUAUUUGGGAUUGACUCAGGAAGUAUUAUUCAAUUGACAUGGUCCAAAUCAGCAUGUGGAUUGUGUGAAGCUCGCGGAGGAACGUGUGAAUUGAAGAGUGAUCGCACUGAAUCGUGCAACAUGAGUCAUCAGAGCCGAAGAAACAGAGGUUCCUCAACCAAGUUAAUAAUUGCAG
RNAcentral lists this unclassified non-coding RNA (228 nucleotides) under Hevea brasiliensis (rubber tree). Lineage: Eukaryota; Viridiplantae; Streptophyta; Magnoliopsida; Malpighiales; Euphorbiaceae. The record is from RNAcentral.